RNAcentral lists this small RNA (98 nucleotides) under Streptococcus pneumoniae. Its description in RNAcentral is "csRNA2". It matches the Rfam family "Cia-dependent small RNA csRNA1". Lineage: Bacteria; Bacillati; Bacillota; Bacilli; Lactobacillales; Streptococcaceae. The record is from RNAcentral.
UAUUAAAUAAAGACCUCCUAACUUUAUUUAAUAAAAUCCUAAACUUUUCUUUUUCAUAAUAAUCUCCCUUAACUCCACCCAAUCAGGUGGAGUUUUUU